UGGGCACUCUGGGCCUCUCAGUCCCAGAGGAAAGGCCUGUCCUCCAAGCCAAUGUGCAGCCUGACUCUGGGGCCAGCGCCUGAGGAAGCCCUCCCUGAGCCCCAGCCCUGGGGAAGGCUGAAGAGGCCUCUGAGCCCCCAGCGCUGGGGAGAGCUGUGCAGAAUAGGACUGGAGGUGGAAGUGUUGGAGAUUAACAGCCAGGUUUGGGGGCACACGUGAAGGUUUGACAUAUAGUAAACACAUGUCAUGGUGGUUUGUUGUACAGAUUAUUACAUCACCCAGGGUUUCACUCCCGUCACCCAGACUGGAGUACAAUGGUGCGAUCUCAGCUCACUGCAACCUCU
RNAcentral lists this long non-coding RNA (344 nucleotides) under Homo sapiens (human). Its description in RNAcentral is "HSALNT0351660". The record is from RNAcentral. Lineage: Eukaryota; Metazoa; Chordata; Mammalia; Primates; Hominidae.